AUGAUUGCGAAUGGUCACCUUCAGUGCUGGCUCUCAAAAGCAAGUGCACGUUGGUGGCUUCAUCCAAUUCCACACCCUGUGCACCUUUGGCCUCUUGCUAGCUUUGGCUGGCAGAGGAUUUUACAUAUACUCUCGAAUGUAAUGAAAACUAUUGUUGUGCGCAAGCACUAAUAUA
Molecule: unclassified non-coding RNA, 175 nt
Filed under: uncultured Sebacina
Lineage: Eukaryota; Fungi; Basidiomycota; Agaricomycetes; Sebacinales; Sebacinaceae
Description: sequence contains ITS1
Source: RNAcentral